This 496-nucleotide ribosomal RNA is filed under the name uncultured bacterium. Its description in RNAcentral is "partial 16S ribosomal RNA". It matches the Rfam family "Bacterial small subunit ribosomal RNA", at positions 28 to 523 of the family's 1533-position model. The record is from RNAcentral.
GAUGAACGCUAGCGGCAGGCCUAACACAUGCAAGUCGAGGGGUAGAGGUUGCUUGCAACCUUGAGACCGGCGCACGGGUGCGUAACGCGUAUACAAUCUGCCUCGCACUGAGGGAUAGCCCAGAGAAAUUUGGAUUAAUACCUCAUAGUAUCUUUUCCCGGCAUCGGGAGAUUAUUAGAGUUCCAACGGUACAAGAUGAGCAUGCGUCCCAUUAGCUAGUUGGUAUGGUACCGGCAUACCAAGGCAAUGUUGGGUAGGGGUCCUGAGAGGGGGAUCCGCCACGCUGGUGCUGAGACACGGACCAGACUGCGACGGGGGACAGCAGUGAGGAAUAUUGGUCAAUGGGGGCAGGCCUGAACCAGCCAUGCCGCGUGCAGGAUGAAGCAUCUAUGGUGUGUAAACUGCUUUUAUACAAGAAGAAACACCGGUUCGUGAACCGGCUUGACGGUACCGUAAGAAUAAGGAUCGGCUAACUCCGUGCCAGCAGCCGCGGUAA